This 400-nucleotide ribosomal RNA is filed under the name uncultured bacterium. RNAcentral describes it as "bacterial SSU rRNA". It matches the Rfam family "Bacterial small subunit ribosomal RNA", at positions 356 to 773 of the family's 1533-position model. The record is from RNAcentral.
GGGGAAUAUUGCACAAUGGGGGAAACCCUGAUGCAGCGACGCCGCGUGAGUGAAGAAGUAUUUCGGUAUGUAAAGCUCUAUCAGCAGGGAAGAAAAUGACGGUACCUGACUAAGAAGCCCCGGCUAACUACGUGCCAGCAGCCGCGGCAAUACGUAGGGGGCAAGCGUUAUCCGGAUUUACUGGGUGUAAAGGGAGCGUAGGUGGCAAAUCAAGUCAGAUGUGAAAGCCCGGGGCUCAACUCCGGGAUUGCAUUUGAAACUGGUAUGCUAGAGUGCAGGAGAGGUAAGUGGAAUUCCUAGUGUAGCGGUGAAAUGCGUAGAUAUUAGGAGGAACACCAGUGGCGAAGGCGGCCUACUGGACUGUAACUGACACUGAGGCUCGAAAGCGUGGGGAGCAAAC